CCUACGGGGGGCAGCAGUGGGGAAUAUUGCACAAUGGGCGCAAGCCUGAUGCAGCGACGCCGCGUGAGGGACGAAGGCCUUCGGGUUGUAAACCUCUUUCAGCGGGGACGAAGCGAGAGUGACGGUACCCGCAGAAGAAGCACCGGCUAACUACGUGCCAGCAGCCGCGGUAAUACGUAGGGUGCGAGCGUUGUCCGGAAUUAUUGGGCGUAAAGAGCUCGUAGGCGGUCUGUCGCGUCGGUUGUGAAAACCUGGAGCUCAACUCCAGGCCUGCAGUCGAUACGGGCAGACUAGAGUUCGGUAGGGGAGACUGGAAUUCCUGGUGUAGCGGUGAAAUGCGCAGAUAUCAGGAGGAACACCGGUGGCGAAGGCGGGUCUCUGGGCCGAAACUGACGCUGAGGAGCGAAAGCGUGGGGAGCGAACAGGAUUAGAUACCCU
Molecule: ribosomal RNA, 438 nt
Filed under: uncultured Actinophytocola sp.
Lineage: Bacteria; Bacillati; Actinomycetota; Actinomycetes; Pseudonocardiales; Pseudonocardiaceae
Description: bacterial SSU rRNA
Rfam family: Bacterial small subunit ribosomal RNA
Source: RNAcentral